This 369-nucleotide long non-coding RNA is filed under the name Nicotiana benthamiana. RNAcentral describes it as "long non-coding RNA (NBEN_LNC025762)". Lineage: Eukaryota; Viridiplantae; Streptophyta; Magnoliopsida; Solanales; Solanaceae. The record is from RNAcentral.
UGAAUCUUGUAACACUUAUCAAUUAAGUGCCCAGAUUUUUUGCAGUAUCUACAAAAUAAAGAACCUCUAGCUGGGUCAAAAUUAACUCUUUGUCUGAAAGGAGAAGGAUUAGGCAUUGUGACCUUAUUGAUUCCAACUGAAUGUUUGUUUGUGUGGACAUUGAAAGACAUAGAGUCUGGAUUAAACUAAGAAAUGAACUGGACUUGUCUCUGUUUAUCAUCAUUGAGGACCAUAUUGUAGACACUGUCAAGGGUAGGAGGAGGCUGCAUAAUCAGUAAGUUACUCCUUACCCCCAUGUAUGCUUCAUUAAGGCCCAUGAGGAACUGGAACACCUUAUUCUCAUCAUCUUCCUGUAUGAUGCCAUUUCUG